AGUUUGACUUUCUUCAUCGAUCCAAAAUGGAAGAGUGUACGACGCAAUUCUUUCCGACGAGCAGAAGCGGUGCGAAUCGAUUUCGCCGUCUUCAUCGUGUUUCCUCCGAGACCAGCGAAGAACAAACGUUCUGGAAUCAAGACUCCUCUCCUGAUGAUGACUUGACAGCGCGCGAAUCACUUUCAGGAUCUGAGAAUUGAGAUUGCAUCGUAUCGGCUCAGCGGUGUGCAUCGUUUGUUGGUGAUUCAAAGGUCGACGCCGAUAUACAUGGAGCACGUUGAAGAACGAUGAUUUGCGGCCGCUCGACAUCUCAGGUGCGACGGAAACAAAAGCUCGAUCAAAACCCUGAGUUUGCUAAGUGGUUUCUUAAUCGGCACACGAGCGAAACCAAUUCAGUUUCUCCGCGCGUCUUGAACGAAUAGGGGUCAAUCACUGCCUUCGUCAUGCCGGACUUGUGUGAUCCGACUUCACAUGCUUUGAAGCUACUCAGAACGCAUUGACAAAUUGAAGAAGAGACUAAGAUACUUACCGGAUCGGAAUUGUCGAAUCUCCAUGGCAUUUCAUUUUGAACUUCUUCAUCAAUAUUGAUGGGAUCGAGGAGGAGUGGAAAACAGGACCGAAGUUCCGUCGCGUUUCAGAAUACAGAAUACAGAACCGAAGCUUUGGGAUCGAGAAGGAGGACAGUUCCGAGACCGGUUUCGAUCGACCUUCACUGUUCACGUCAAUUCAAAGAGCGUUGCAAGGAAGAGGACAAGGUCGGACCAAAAUAUCCAGAAUUCUCCUCGCUUUGAUUCACUCCUUCUUCUUUGCUUACGGAUUCUUCUUCUUCUGGUUUGUACUGAUGCGUUGUGGUUGUUUACCGGCGAUGGUGAUAUGGAGCGGCGAGAUUUUAUGCAGAACCGUGCUUUAGGAAGAAUCAAGGAAUUGCAGGACAUCAAGGUUGCGAAAUGUGCAGGUCGAAGAGUAUGAGAAUGUAACAGGAAGAUGAAGAAUGGAGAAUGGAUGUGGUUGAAGCAAAGAAUCAAUAUCGUGAAAGAUCAUCCGAUUGAAGCAAAAUAGAGAACGAAUUAAAGAAGGUGGAGAUUGAAUUUCAGGCCUCAAGCCGAAAACACACAAAGUGUGAAUUGAAGAAGAAGGCUCAGAGUGGAUUCUAGAAAAAACACUCAAAGUGAAUUGAGGACCAACAUCACACGAGCUAUUCAUAUGGACAAAUGGGACUUGAUAAAAGGAACACAACGACUUAAAAACAGGGAGUGAAGCUUCGACAUUUCUGUAUGGAGGAGUGUUCCUUUUGCUGGGUUGUUGGCUCGAGUGUGGGAAGCGGUCGCAUAACCAUGCUGGUUGGUGAAGUGGCGGAAAUACUUGUGUGCGCGUGAUUGUUUCAGGCUAGAUCAAAUGUUAAAUGAUAUGGCCUGUUAAUUGAAAAAAUGCCUUGCUGAUGGAUGGAUUAUUGUAAGAAAAAACCAGCAAUUUAACAUGAGUGAUGAAUGGGGUAGAAGCUAGAAUCUAGGACUCUUUUGGUUACUUGAUGGAGUCUUGUACAAUUAUUGGAAUUGGCUUUGCAUAUGAGAAGCGCAUUGUGUAUAUGUUGUAGAUUCUUUUAUUAUAGUGGAUGUUGUAAAUAUCGAACGAAAUGUGUUUCACGAUUAUAAUGUAAUAUGACAUGUAUUGGAAAUUUGGUUGAACUAUUGAAUUUUAAUGGAGAUGUGAUGCAUUUGGAUGAACAGAA
This is a long non-coding RNA of Lathyrus oleraceus (garden pea), 1729 nucleotides long. RefSeq lists it as uncharacterized. The record is from RefSeq and is a predicted model, not a curated record. NCBI's taxonomy places the organism in Eukaryota, Viridiplantae, Streptophyta, Magnoliopsida, Fabales, Fabaceae. The transcript is spliced from 4 exons.